GCCAAUGCAGAGUCUACAGCCUGAUCACACACAAUACUGUCUGAUCUUGGAAGCUAAGCAGGCUUAGGGCCUGGCCAGUAUUGGGU
This 86-nucleotide ribosomal RNA is filed under the name Microtus ochrogaster (prairie vole). Lineage: Eukaryota; Metazoa; Chordata; Mammalia; Rodentia; Cricetidae. The record is from RNAcentral.